RNAcentral lists this long non-coding RNA (326 nucleotides) under Lathyrus oleraceus (garden pea). Its description in RNAcentral is "Pisum sativum (pea) long non-coding RNA (PSAT_LNC004974)". Lineage: Eukaryota; Viridiplantae; Streptophyta; Magnoliopsida; Fabales; Fabaceae. The record is from RNAcentral.
UCUCUUUUCUCCUUUGUUUUAUUUGGUUUAAAAAUACCUUUAUGCAUUUUAAAGUUCUGAAAAUUUUAUUUUAUGCUUCUUAUUUUAUUUCCAAUCUUCCGUAAUUUUCUUGGCCAUUUAUUUGGUGUUUUGAAUGACUUUAUGGUUUUUCUCUUUUAUUUCCCUUUUAAAAUUCAUUUUAAAUUUUUUUUGACUCAUUUUAUUUUAUUUUAUUUCAUUUUAUAUUUGUUUAACCUUUGUUGACUUUCGUUAGCCUUGGAACUUAGUUGAUUUGAUCAUUGGUCUCAUCAAACUCAAUUGAUCUUGGGUGUUGAUGGGGUGAAAAC